AGGCGACCGCUAUUGGAGUUCGAUUAAGCCAUGCGAGUAGAAAGAAAUUAGAUUCUUUGCAUACUGCUCAGUAACACGUGGAUAACCUGCCCUACACUGGGGGAUAAUCUCGGGAAACUGAGCAUAAUACCCCAUAGACCACUACGCCUGGAACGGUGAGUGGUUCAAAGCUUCGGCGGUGUAGGAUGGGUCUGCGGCGUAUCAGGUCGUAGGGGGUGUAAUGGACCUCCUAGCCAUCGACGCGUACGGGUUGUGGGAGCAAUAGCCCGGAGACGGAUUCUGAGACACGAAUCCGGACCCUACGGGGUGCAGCAGGCGCGAAAACUUCACACUGCAGGAAACUGUGAUGAGGGAACUCCAAGUGACUGCACAAUGUGUAGCCUUUUCAUGAAUCUUAAUAGUUCUUGGAAUAAGGGCUGGGAAAGACCGGUGCCAGCCGCCGCGGUAAUACCGGCAGCUCAAGUGGUCGUCGCUUUUAUUGGGCCUAAAACGUCCGUAGCCUGUUUGGUAAAUCUGUGGGUAAAUCAACGAGCUUAACUCGUUGAAUUCUGCAGAGACUGCCAGACUAGGGACCGGGAGAGGUAUGAGGUACUCUGGGGGUAGGGGUAAAAUCCUGUCAUCCCCAGAGGACCACCUGUUGCGAAGGCGUCAUACUGGAACGGAUCCGACGGUCAGGGACGAAGCCUAGGGGCACGAACCGGAUUAGAUACCCGGGUAGUCCUAGGUGUAAACGCUGUGGAUUUGGUGUGUGGGGUCCGCAAUGGGCCCCAUGUGCCGGAGUGAAGAUGUUAAAUCCACUGCCUGGGGAGUACGGUCGCAAGGCUGAAACUUAAAGGAAUUGGCGGGGGAGCACUGCAACGGGAGGAGCGUGCGGUUU
RNAcentral lists this ribosomal RNA (877 nucleotides) under uncultured euryarchaeote. RNAcentral's name for it is "bacterial SSU rRNA". It matches the Rfam family "Archaeal small subunit ribosomal RNA", at positions 21 to 903 of the family's 1478-position model. Lineage: Archaea; Methanobacteriati; Methanobacteriota. The record is from RNAcentral.